GGCCAGACUCCUACGGGAGGCAGCAGUGGGGGAUAUUGCACAAUGGGGGGAACCCUGAUGCAGCGACGCCGCGUGGGUGAAGAAGUAUUUCGGUAUGUAAAGCCCUAUCGGCAGGGAAGAAAUUGGACGGUACCUGACUAAGAAGCCCCGGCUAACUACGUGCCAGCAGCCGCGGUAAUACGUAGGGGGCAAGCGUUAUCCGGAUUCACUGGGUGUAAAGGGAGCGUAGACGGCCAUGCAAGCCUGGAGUGAAAGCCCGGGGCCCAACCCCGGGACUGCAUUUGGAACUGUGUGGCUGGAGUGUCGGAGAGGCAGGCGGAAUUCCUAGUGUAGCGGUGAAAUGCGUAGAUAUUAGGAGGAACACCAGUGGCGAAGGCGGCCUGCUGGACGAUGACUGACGUUGAGGCUCGAAAGCGUGGGGAGCAAACAGGAUUAGAUACCCGCGUA
Molecule: ribosomal RNA, 447 nt
Filed under: uncultured bacterium
Lineage: Bacteria
Description: bacterial SSU rRNA
Rfam family: Bacterial small subunit ribosomal RNA
Source: RNAcentral